Molecule: ribosomal RNA, 743 nt
Filed under: bacterium enrichment culture clone B4(2013)
Lineage: Bacteria
Description: bacterial SSU rRNA
Rfam family: Bacterial small subunit ribosomal RNA
Source: RNAcentral
GAGUUUGAUCCUGGCUCAGAUUGAACGCUGGCGGCAGGCCUAACACAUGCAAGUCGAGCGGAUGACGGGAGCUUGCUCCUUGAUUCAGCGGCGGACGGGUGAGUAAUGCCUAGGAAUCUGCCUGGUAGUGGGGGACAACGUUUCGAAAGGAACGCUAAUACCGCAUACGUCCUACGGGAGAAAGCAGGGGACCUUCGGGCCUUGCGCUAUCAGAUGAGCCUAGGUCGGAUUAGCUAGUUGGUGAGGUAAUGGCUCACCAAGGCGACGAUCCGUAACUGGUCUGAGAGGAUGAUCAGUCACACUGGAACUGAGACACGGUCCAGACUCCUACGGGAGGCAGCAGUGGGGAAUAUUGGACAAUGGGCGAAAGCCUGAUCCAGCCAUGCCGCGUGUGUGAAGAAGGUCUUCGGAUUGUAAAGCACUUUAAGUUGGGAGGAAGGGCAGUAAGCUAAUACCUUGCUGUUUUGACGUUACCGACAGAAUAAGCACCGGCUAACUCUGUGCCAGCAGCCGCGGUAAUACAGAGGGUGCAAGCGUUAAUCGGAAUUACUGGGCGUAAAGCGCGCGUAGGUGGUUCGUUAAGUUGGAUGUGAAAGCCCCGGGCUCAACCUGGGAACUGCAUCCAAAACUGGCGAGCUAGAGUACGGUAGAGGGUGGUGGAAUUUCCUGUGUAGCGGUGAAAUGCGUAGAUAUAGGAAGGAACACCAGUGGCGAAGCGACCACCUGGACUGAUACUGACACUG